RNAcentral lists this ribosomal RNA (254 nucleotides) under uncultured bacterium. RNAcentral's name for it is "partial 16S ribosomal RNA". It matches the Rfam family "Bacterial small subunit ribosomal RNA", at positions 524 to 776 of the family's 1533-position model. The record is from RNAcentral.
UACGUAGGGGGCGAGCGUUGUCCGGAUUUAUUGGGCGUAAAGAGCUCGUAGGCGGUUUGGCAAGUCGGGUGUGAAAACUCCGGGCUCAACUCGGAGACGCCACUCGAUACUGCUAUGACUCGAGUCCGGUAGGGGAGUGCGGAAUUCCUGGUGUAGCGGUGAAAUGCGCAGAUAUCAGGAGGAACACCGGUGGCGAAGGCGGAUCUCUGGGCCUUACCUGACGCUCAGGCACGAAAGCUAGGGGAGCGAACAGG